CAAAGGAAGAGCAAAACAGAAUCCUUACACACCAUGUGACACAUCUUUUUUGCAUUUUGAAACUGGAGAAAACCCUAGAAACCAAAUCCUCUCUCGCAUUGCCAUCUGCCUCCAUAAUGAUAACACUAUGCUUGCUACAAUCAUGGCAGACAUCAUGGUAACAAAGGAGAUCGAGGACACCGCGCUACGUCUAUGCGUCGAUCUCUCCACUCUCGAUCUCGACGCCAUUCGCCUCCCUCCCGGCGAAGAUUGCGGCCUCUUGAGCCACCUUUUCUCAUGCUUGCAGCCUCUUGAGCAAGUUCUCGAAGGAGAAACGUGCUUAUGCUGAUUCCACCGUUGGAAUUGGUGGAAAAAUAGAACCUAAAAAAGCGAGUACCAAGGAUUUGUUAGCAAGCUUACAAAACUCAUAUGGGGCCUUAAAGCUAAGCGCUUCUGCCAUGGAAUUUCUUCCCCAGCUUGUGGAAAACCCCUGAAUUAAGAAGUCUAGUUGUGCUACUAUAUUUUUUUAUUGUUAUUUUUUUUUCUGAAGUCUAAGAAAAAAGUUAAAAAAAAAGUGAUUUUUGUUCUAUGGAAUAAUUUAGGGAAUUUUGACUUAUGAUUUUUUAUCUUUAUUAGUAGAUUAUAUGUGAAUUUCAUUAUGAUUAUAGUUGGAGAUGGUGAGGGAUCCUCUGGAUCUGAGGCGGUAUGCGAAAACUGAGGACGGUGAUGACCUAACUCAAGCAUUGGUGGAGGAAAUCAUAGAGAAAUGUCUUGGUUUCGAAGUUGAGCAGAGGAGUUUGGUGAUUCGUAUCAAGAGUUAUGCCAAGAGGAAAAGAUUUUGUAUAAAUUGAUAUCUGGUCUUCACUCCUCCAUAUCAAUUCAUAUAGCUUUUGAUUAUCUACUUGAUGAAGCUACAAAUUUGUGGGGACAAAAUCUUACUUUGAUGUAUGACCGAGUCCUAAGAUACCCUGAUCAUGUCAGAAAUUUGUAUUUCACUUUUCUCUUUGUUCUGCGAGCAGUAACCAAAGCUUUAGAUUAUCUGGAACAGGCAGAGUAUGAUACUGGUAACCCCAAUGAGGACCUUACAACACAAUCCUUGAUAAAAUAGCUACUUUACAACCCCAAGCUUCAAGCUGCAUGUCCAAUUCCAUUUGAUGAAGCCAAUUUGUGGAAAGGCCAAAGUGGACCUGAGCUAAAACAGAAAAUUCAACAACAAUUUAGAAACAUCAGUGCAUUGAUGGAUUGUGUAGGAUGUGAGAAAUGUUGAUUAUGGGGUAAGCUAUAUUAUAUAUCUUCAUAUGUCCUUUUACUUGUAUCUGCACAAUGCAUACAAUUCAUUUCUAUAUUAUUAUAUAUCUUUCUAGCUUCCUCCAUAUUCCACAAUACCUUUUGUGUAAUAUUAUUGAAGGAAAGCAUUUUCAAUUUUUUAAGGACACCUGCACUUUUUAUAAUAUUGUUUCAAUACUUCCUUAUCCUUUUCAAUUUAUUUAAUUAUUGAAUGGUUUCAGUUCAAAUUAUUUAAUUAAUUCCUUUCACCCAUUUUUUCUUAAUUCUUUUUCAAAAUAAUUUCUUGAUAUUUUUUUGUUAACUUAAUAUUUUUCAUGUGUGAUUCGAACUCGAGUGGUAAUGGAGACGAUUUUACAAGCAACGUGAAAAGGCUCAUAAUUGAUUUGGUCACCAUUUGAAGGAAGAGAAUGUGAAAGAGUGAGGUCAGAGUUGCCUGUAGACGAAGACAAUCGUCAUCAGUUGCAGCUGCAAAGGAAUGAGGUAAUUGCAUUGACGAACCUUCUCAAUCGACUCUCGGAAUCCUUCAAAUUCGUCCACGAAGUGGGACCUACAGUUGAAAGAAUCAUGGAAGGAGGACAUUUUUCUGCUCAUACAAGAACUGAUUAGCUCAUGGAAAAAAAUUUGGUCCUAUGUAUCUAAAACUUAGGUGUGUAUGUGCGAUUCUAGUGUUGACCCAUAAGGGGAUAAUAAAAACCCUUUUAGGCUAACACUUUAUAAGAAGACUAUGGUCUCCAAUAUACCAAUCCACCAAAAGCUCAUCCUUCAUUCUCUUCAUCUGAAGAGAGAUCGACGCCCCGUUAGAAACUCAAGAGGUUAGGUUGAGUAAAAACCAUUACGCUAGGCAUCAGCUUUCCUUGUUGAAGAAUGCUCGAAUCAGGAACAGACAAUGGAUCUAGGUAUUUAUUUUAAUCCGUCAGAUAUCGGGUAUGGGUAUGGGACAUGUUGGGGAGUCGGAGUCGGGGUCGGGAAUUGGGGAGACAAUAUUCGUCCCUGUCCCACCCCAUUGCAAUGUCUAAGCAAGAAUAUCUUGAUUGAAUCCAAGAGUAAGAGUAGGAAUAUGUUGAUCAUGACUAGGAAAUAGUUGAUUAAGAAUAGGAAUACAUUGUUCAGCAACAGGAAAAAUCCAACCGUUUAGUCUAGCAAACUUUCUCCUAAGGUAUUAUAUGAAGAAGAAAAAGAAGGAGAAGAAGAAGGAAGUAAUAUCAUUGGAUUUACCCUAUUGUUUUAAAAAAUGUGUACUCUCAUACUAUCAAAAAAUGAGAUAAGAUAAUAAAUGUUAUAGUUGUAGAUAAAUAUUAUUAUGUUU
This is a long non-coding RNA of Glycine soja, 2572 nucleotides long. RefSeq lists it as uncharacterized. The record is from RefSeq and is a predicted model, not a curated record. NCBI's taxonomy places the organism in Eukaryota, Viridiplantae, Streptophyta, Magnoliopsida, Fabales, Fabaceae. The transcript is spliced from 8 exons.